GCCCUGGUAGCUUAGCUAAAAGCAUCGGUCUUGUAAUCCGAAGAUCGGAGGUUAAAAUCCUCCCUAGUGCC
Molecule: transfer RNA, 71 nt
Filed under: Lepidocephalichthys hasselti
Lineage: Eukaryota; Metazoa; Chordata; Actinopteri; Cypriniformes; Cobitidae
Description: tRNA-Thr
Rfam family: tRNA
About the family: Transfer RNA (tRNA) molecules are approximately 80 nucleotides in length. Their secondary structure includes four short double-helical elements and three loops (D, anti-codon, and T loops).
Source: RNAcentral